GUGCUCGCUUCGGCAGCACAUAUACUAAAACUGGAACAAUACAGAGAAGAUUAGCAUGGCCCCUGCGCAAGAAAGAGACAACUUUAUGCUUAGUAAUUAAGUAUACAC
Small nuclear RNA from Pteronotus mesoamericanus, 108 nucleotides. The record is from RefSeq and is a predicted model, not a curated record. Lineage: Eukaryota; Metazoa; Chordata; Mammalia; Chiroptera; Mormoopidae.